This is a long non-coding RNA of Lolium rigidum, 550 nucleotides long. RefSeq lists it as uncharacterized. The transcript is spliced from 3 exons. The record is from RefSeq and is a predicted model, not a curated record. Lineage: Eukaryota; Viridiplantae; Streptophyta; Magnoliopsida; Poales; Poaceae.
CAGUCUAGCGAGGACAUAAGAUUGGACCGAAAUCAAGUUGCGUUUGGGAAGCGUUGUCCACUAUUACCAUUGCCGUAUCUUUUGUCAUGCUAGGGUGGUGAUUGUUGAGGCCCAAGCCCUCGUUCGUCGUUCAUUUGAUUGGUGGGAUUUCUAUUGGAUGCACGCCACAGGUCAAGGAGCUUUGACGACUGCUACACCAUAUGUUAGCAGUUUGAUCAUUUCUACAUUGAAGACGAUUUUGAAUUUAAGUUUGGCAGGUGCUUGCCAAACUUAGUUGAACGUGAUCAAGAUAUGAUGUGCAGCUAAGUAAAAACGUGCUGAUAACCUUUAAUAACAAAUUGGCUGUUAUUACGGAAGGAGCAGUCAAAAUUUGAGAACAACAAACAAGUCUUAAGAAAAUGUUGCAGUAAGUUCUGUUCAGGUUUGUUCUAUACCGAGUUUAUUUUUCAGCAUAGGUAGUUUUGAAUUUUUAUUCUUUUUACUUCUAACAGUAUAGUUACACAAUAUCACACCUUUCCUACUUCAGAUAAGAAGAGCCAGGUAAUGUGUA